AUUGAACGCUGGCGGCAUGCCUUACACAUGCAAGUCGAGCGGCAGCGCGGGGGCAACCCUGGCGGCGAGCGGCGAACGGGUGAGUAAUGCAUCGGAACGUGUCCUCUUGUGGGGGAUAACCAGUCGAAAGACUGGCUAAUACCGCAUGAGCUCGAGAGAGGAAAGCAGGGGACCCGCAAGGGCCUUGCGCGAGAGGAGCGGCCGAUGCCGGAUUAGCUAGUUGGCGGGGUAACGGCCCACCAAGGCGACGAUCCGUAGCUGGUCUGAGAGGACGACCAGCCACACUGGGACUGAGACACGGCCCAGACUCCUACGGGAGGCAGCAGUGGGGAAUUUUGGACAAUGGGGGCAACCCUGAUCCAGCCAUGCCGCGUGUGUGAAGAAGGCCUUCGGGUUGUAAAGCACUUUCGGACGGAACGAAAUCGCGCGGGCGAAUAUCCCGCGUGGAUGACGGUACCGUAAGAAGAAGCACCGGCUAACUACGUGC
Molecule: ribosomal RNA, 487 nt
Filed under: uncultured bacterium
Lineage: Bacteria
Description: bacterial SSU rRNA
Rfam family: Bacterial small subunit ribosomal RNA
Source: RNAcentral